CUGCUGUAAUCUUUUGAUUAUGAAGACAAUGUUUUAAGAUGUAAAAUUCUCAUUUAUAUUUCUCAGGUAUCAUUGUAUUAUUAUCUUUUGUAUAACAUGGCUUCCCACUGAUUCCUUCUUCAGGCCAGGUAAAUGUGAUGUGCAGUUGACACCUGUAACCACUUUUCCCGGGUAUCAGCAUUUAGACUAAUUUUUACAUGUGCUACCUGACUUCAAGGCUUCUGUCCGUGGCAGUUCCCAAUUUUUAACUGGAAUUAGUGUUUUCAAAAGUUAUGUGAAAGAAAUUGGAUUUUGGGGAUGGCCAUGGAAAAGAAGCUUAAAGUCAGGUGUGGCAGAUGAAUUGACCAAAACUUUUGUUGAGGAUGGAAUAAAGAUGGAAGCGAUGUAGGCUGAGGAUUGAAAGGCUUUGAUAGUCAUUUCCAGGAAAAGUUGUGAAGAUUUUGUUAGCACCAAGAGAUGGAAGCAUUUACAGAAGCAGAGCAUCAUCCAAGUGGAUUGCCUGGGUUUGUUCAUUUCACCACUUAUCUUGCUACUAUAUGAAUCUAUGUCAGGUACUUAUUUCUUUCAAGCAGAUUAUACCAGCUUUUGUUCUGUUUAUGAUGAAAGUAACUGCCAAAAGAAACUUUAGAGGGAAAAGUAAUAUGUUUGGAGAACUUGCUAUUA
This is a long non-coding RNA of Mercurialis annua (annual mercury), 663 nucleotides long. RefSeq lists it as uncharacterized. The record is from RefSeq and is a predicted model, not a curated record. The transcript is spliced from 2 exons. Lineage: Eukaryota; Viridiplantae; Streptophyta; Magnoliopsida; Malpighiales; Euphorbiaceae.